UUUUAGCAGUAGGAAGGAAAUACAAAAUUGCAUAAAAAAUGCUAAAUUGAGGUUUAAUCAAUCAGUACUUUUAGAUUUAAUAUUCAAGUACAUAAAACAUGAAGUAUUUUGUACUUUUACACAAGUAAAAAUUUUAAAAGAUUACUUUUACUAGAGUAAUAUUUCAUAAGUGUAUCUGUACUUUGUACACCACGGGCUAAUAAACUAAGGUCUUGCUAGUUUGCAAAUAAAAAUUGGGUGCUACCGCACUGGCUAGCAAACAAACUACAGGCUAGCUGUAAAGUUGUACAUUGAAAGUGAGUUUUUCUGUGGUCUUUGUAUACUUUAUGUACCAGCAGACUCCAUCAUUGACUCCAGCAGAGGUGGCCGUAUCGAUGCCGCCUCCUCUUCCCAAACUCGCCAGUCUGUGUCCAUAAAUGGCAUCUAUCUUGUCGAACCACUUGCAAUACCACUCCAGCUGUUGUCGUCUUUCACCUCAGGGUGGUCGCUCUGCAGCUUCUUGCAUGUAAUGCAUCACUGCUCGGACGUCUGCUGGAACCCCUCGGCAGCCAUCCUCUCAGAAACAUGCUGGAAAACAUUUUCAUUUCUCACCAUGCCAUCAAGUUCCCUUUGCACCCUUUCUUCACUGAUGAUACCCAGAAAGUUCGUUGUUGCAGAUCUCGUCCAGUCUGUAUUUUUGGAUAUUCCUCGCCCACCUUGGAUUCACCUGCACUGGGUUGGAGAAUUACAGCGGCUUGAGCGGGCUGGACUUUAUUCCACUGAAGUUAUUAUCCGAUCGUCUUCCAACUCUUCUCACUGCUUGUUGUAUAUCAAAUAAACCCAUUUAAGCUCUUGCACUUGGAUCUCGAGACUCGAUCUUUGUGACAAUAGGUCUCCUGUUAUUUUCUAAGCUUCUUAUACACAUCUAAGCAUUAGUCCCAGAAGUUGAAGCCACUUCUUUGAGCCCCUCCUAUGUAAACUGUUAAGUUUAACCAUAAUAAUGCAAAGAUUAUAUGGGCAAACAAAUUUGUGAAUAGAUAUAAAAUACCCAACGAUGUUCCUGCAUAUUUACAUAUAUGUAUUAAAUGUUAUUAUAUAUGUAAAUAUUAAAAUUAAACAGUAAACAUUAAAAAUUAAACAUAUAUUGUUUUUUUAUGUAUGGUCACUACAUAUAAUAAUAAAAAAAAUCAUAAUAUACA
Molecule: long non-coding RNA, 1178 nt
Organism: Cyprinus carpio (common carp)
Lineage: Eukaryota; Metazoa; Chordata; Actinopteri; Cypriniformes; Cyprinidae
Source: Ensembl